UACGUAGGGGGCGAGCGUUGUCCGGAUUCAUUGGGCGUAAAGCGCGGGCAGGCGGCCCGCUCAGUCGGCCGUGAAAGCGCCGGGCUCAACUCGGCGUGGUCGGGCGAUACUGGCGGGCUCGAGGCUGGUAGAGGGCGGUGGAAUUCCGGGUGUAGUGGUGGAAUGCGUAGAGCUCCGGAGGAACACCAGUGGCGAAGGCGGCCGCCUGGGCCAGUCCUGACGCUGAGCCGCGAAAGCGUGGGGAGCGAUCCGG
Molecule: ribosomal RNA, 253 nt
Filed under: uncultured bacterium
Lineage: Bacteria
Description: partial 16S ribosomal RNA
Rfam family: Bacterial small subunit ribosomal RNA
Source: RNAcentral